RNAcentral lists this ribosomal RNA (557 nucleotides) under Streptomyces sp. 303F10. RNAcentral describes it as "bacterial SSU rRNA". It matches the Rfam family "Bacterial small subunit ribosomal RNA", at positions 93 to 664 of the family's 1533-position model. The record is from RNAcentral. Lineage: Bacteria; Bacillati; Actinomycetota; Actinomycetes; Kitasatosporales; Streptomycetaceae.
UAGUGGCGAACGGGUGAGUAACACGUGGGCAAUCUGCCCUUCACUCUGGGACAAGCCCUGGAAACGGGGUCUAAUACCGGAUAUCACUCCUGCAGGCAUCUGCGGGGGUCGAAAGCUCCGGCGGUGAAGGAUGAGCCCGCGGCCUAUCAGCUUGUUGGUGAGGUAAUGGCUCACCAAGGCGACGACGGGUAGCCGGCCUGAGAGGGCGACCGGCCACACUGGGACUGAGACACGGCCCAGACUCCUACGGGAGGCAGCAGUGGGGAAUAUUGCACAAUGGGCGAAAGCCUGAUGCAGCGACGCCGCGUGAGGGAUGACGGCCUUCGGGUUGUAAACCUCUUUCAGCAGGGAAGAAGCGAAAGUGACGGUACCUGCAGAAGAAGCGCCGGCUAACUACGUGCCAGCAGCCGCGGUAAUACGUAGGGCGCAAGCGUUGUCCGGAAUUAUUGGGCGUAAAGAGCUCGUAGGCGGCUUGUCACGUCGGGUGUGAAAGCCCGGGGCUUAACCCCGGGUCUGCAUUCGAUACGGGCUAGCUAGAGUGUGGUAGGGGAGAUCGC